RNAcentral lists this ribosomal RNA (492 nucleotides) under uncultured bacterium. Its description in RNAcentral is "partial 16S ribosomal RNA". It matches the Rfam family "Bacterial small subunit ribosomal RNA", at positions 29 to 507 of the family's 1533-position model. The record is from RNAcentral.
AGUGAACGCUGGCGGUAGGCCUAACACAUGCAAGUCGAACGGCAGCACAGUAAGUUCUUGCUCUUACGGGUGGCGAGUGGCGGACGUGUGACGUAUACAUCUUACUCUACUUUUUCGUGUGGGUUAACGUAGCUAAACUUACUCUAAUACCGCAUACGCCCUUCGGUUGAAAGCAUUGGAUCUUCUCACCUUUCGCGUUUGAAUGCGCCGAUUUCGGAUUAGAUAGUUGGCGGGGUAAAGGCCCACCAUGUCGCCGGUCCGUGGCUGGUCUGGGAGGAUGAUAGGCGACACUGGAAGGGGGACACGGACAAGAGGCCUGCGGGAGGCAGCAGAGGGGAAUAUGGGGCAACGGGGGCAAGCCUGAUACAGCCAUACCGCGUGGGUGAAGAAGACCUUGGGGUUGUAAAGCCCGUUUGUGGGGAAAGAAAAGCAGCAGGUUAAGACCAAGCUGUAGUGACGGUACCGAAAGAAUAAGCACCGGCUAACUUCGUG